Molecule: ribosomal RNA, 439 nt
Filed under: Staphylococcus sp. EA_L_17
Lineage: Bacteria; Bacillati; Bacillota; Bacilli; Caryophanales; Staphylococcaceae
Description: bacterial SSU rRNA
Rfam family: Bacterial small subunit ribosomal RNA
Source: RNAcentral
ACGUAGGGGGGGGGUGCUAUACAUGCAGUCGAGCGAACAGAUAAGGAGCUUGCUCCUUUGACGUUAGCGGCGGACGGGUGAGUAACACGUGGAUAACCUACCUAUAAGACUGGGAUAACUUCGGGAAACCGGAGCUAAUACCGGAUAAGAUUUUGAACCGCAUGGUUCAAUAGUGAAAGACGGCCUUGCUGUCACUUAUAGAUGGAUCCGCGCCGUAUUAGCUAGUUGGUAAGGUAACGGCUUACCAAGGCAACGAUACGUAGCCGACCUGAGAGGGUGAUCGGCCACACUGGAACUGAGACACGGUCCAGACUCCUACGGGAGGCAGCAGUAGGGAAUCUUCCGCAAUGGGCGAAAGCCUGACGGAGCAACGCCGCGUGAGUGAUGAAGGUCUUCGGAUCGUAAAACUCUGUUAUCAGGGAAGAACAUACGUGUAAGG